UUACACAAUAGCAUGAAUACAGACACUGGAAAUAAAAAAGCACCAUGUUUCGCACAACAACAUUUCAUGUUUAAAAAGGUCAGGAUUGCACAAACAUGUGUUUAAUAUUAAACCAAUUUUGAACUCUUCAGGUGUUGCAGGUAAUAACAAAUAUUCGUAUGAUACAAAUCAUGAGGGAAAGCAGCACAAUAAUUAUACAGAUUGGAGAACGUAAGCAUUUCUUCAUUUAGUUAGAAUCUAUUUUAUAAUAAAUGCUCUGAGUAACUUCAGGUUUUGAAAUUUGCGGUAUCCCAUGUUAAAAAACAGAAAGUACAUCAACUGCCGUGCAUGUGGUGGUGUAUAAUUUUUUGCAGGUGAAUACCGGACGGAAAUGUUUUAAAAGCAUUUGAAAUAAACAAGCAUGUGAUUCUCCCAUUUUGGUACGUAAGUGAAUCUCCAAUUCAUUCUUCUAAUCAACAAUAGCACCAAUCACUACAAACUGCUCGAUUUUACUGGUCGAGCACAAAAACUGGUCAAUUCAGACGCUGAGCAGUUGUAGUGAAUGUACCUUCAUCUAUUUCGCCGAAGUCAGAGUAUUGUUCUAAAAGUAGAUUUGUUUUGCAUGAAUCCAUUGUCCACCGAAAUUACUUAUAGUUUAACGUUUAACCUACAAACAUUUUUUAAAACGUACAACAAAUUCAGGGUUUGAUUUUACUAGUGUCUUCUUUCAAUUAUAAAAGUAUUCUUCAGACCAUACAUGCUGCGACUCAAAUAUGGUUAAAAUAUACAUGAACUUAUAACUAUAUAUUCUAAAAUCGCCUUAUCAUGCUUAUUAUAUACUAUUGUCAAUAUCAAUACCCACACAUUAUUUAGUUAUCGAUUUCAAAACGAUUAGAAUGGUUUGUUAUAAAUUGUGUAAAUACCGAAGUACUGACUACUAGACUAAGGUUGAUGCUACCCUUGGGGACUGACAUAUUAUAAUAGCAGGAUUGUUUUUAUCAUAUUGAUUUAAUUUUUAAGUACUUUCAAUUUUUGUUUGGGGCGGUAGAGGGCGUUGUUAACCCAUUCAAUAAACGUUCUUCGUUCGACAUUUCUAAAUAAAACAUAAAUACAAUACAAUAUAAGUAUGAAAAUAUUAAGUGGUAUACUUAUAAAGCCAAACUAACAUAUAAAACGACAACAACCGUUAAACAAUAUUAUGAAAUAAAGUUGUCUUAUACAUGUUAUAUACAAAGAAGAAAAUAGUAACAUCGAUGAUUCUAUUUAUGAAAACAAGGUAAAGACAUAUGCUAGAUAAGAUGUUGAACAAUGCAGUUAAUACAUAUAGUGUAAACAAUUUGAAAUGCAUUACACUAUCCAAUUUCAUUAGCUACAUAUGUAUCCAUUAAAGAUAACAUAUUUUUUUCUAUAAUAAAGAAACAUACACAUACAACUAAGUGCAACAGCAUUGAUUUAUAAUCUUGUAUUCAUAUAAUGUAAACAAAACACAUACAAAUGUAUAUACACACAUGCACAUUUUAGUGUUAUUUAUUGAAAAUGAAACUGGAACUUGAAUAUUUAAUGUCUCAUAAUAAAAUAAUAUCAAAUUUGAGAAGGGUAACAGAAUGCAUGAAAGAAGGUCAAAAUAUACUAAAAAGACAUUCAAACUCAUAGAUCGAAAAUAAACCGACUACGCCAUGCCUAAAAACGAAAUAAAUAACAAACAAAUGAUAGUACACAAGACUCAAUAUAGAAAAACUAUUGACUAGGCAACUCGAACCCACUAAACACUGUGGGUGAUCUCAGGUGCCCCGGAAGGAUAAGCAGACCAUGUUCCACAUGUAGAACCCGUCGUGUUCGUCAUGUUAAAACAAACACGUAAAUAGUAUAAUUCGGUAGGUCAUAUUCGUGAAAGAGGAAUGGGAUUGUAGUAAGUACUUAAGGAACAUAUACGAUAACAUAAUUUUCCUGUAAGAAUUUAUAAGCUGUGCAAAUAUACUACAUGAACAUGUAUAUAUUCUUUUUGUUUUGCAUAAGAGUAUGCACAUUCUCAAUUUUAAACGCACCUGUAUGUAUAGAAGUAUACUUAUGCAUACACUACAAAGUAAAUCCGAAACCUCAAUAAUGUACUUUUCAAAAGUAUAUAGGAACCAGUGACCUGUGACCAAGUUAGAGUUAUAGCUAUUUCAUAAUUUAAAGACAACAAUGGGUAUUAUAAGGUCUAAAAAAUUGCACGGCCUUUACACGUAUACUUUCAGUCAGAACUUUUGUUUUAUCUCGAUUUGCAAAAGUUAAUACCCUCGGUGACUAAUAGUCCAUCAGCAGAGGCAUCGACCCAGUGCUAGUAAUAAAAUUAACGGUACCAAUUUUCCUGCACCAGAUGCGCAUUUCGACAAUACAUUUCUCUUCAGUGAUACUCGUGGCCAAAUUAUUUGAAUUCCAAAGCUUAUAUAAAAGGUGAAGAGCUAUAAACCAAAAGUUAUUGUACUUGUGAACUAGUUGUUUGGUUCAUUCACUAUUUCAAAAAAGUCUGUUAGAAAAUAUAUACGUGUAUGUUUAUGUAAAUAUAUAUGGUUUCUCUCUAACUGUACACAAUUCCAUUUUAUCUGGGAAGUACUGUCAAAGAAAGCACAAGUCAGAGUGUACAGAAAUAUAUUAUAAAAUGUUGAGGUCAUUUUUACAUAUUUUUGUUAGUCAUGUUUAUAUUAUUGAACAUUUUAUACUAAUAUGUACGUUUUUAUAUGGCCAAUAAUAGCCAGAAGUCAUUGUUGAUUAUUAGCCCUUGGGGCCAAUAUCGGUAUCUGCCAUCGAAAUCCUUAUCGAGCCCCCGAAUUUGACUAUCGGUACAAACCUGUCAAUCAAAAACAAUUUGUAAACAAAAUGUCAUCUAAGCAGCUAGCCGACUAGGAGACGUUUCUCCGGGUAACAAAUGACGUUUCAAGUAAAUUGAUACAAGAAAUGAAAAAUGAGAAUACUAUGAAUAAAAACAAUGAAGUAUGUAAUACAAUAGAAAGUUAUGAAUCUGCUGUAGCAGAAAAAAAAAUAAAAAUCACCAGUGAAAUAAGUUAUGUGUCCUCCAUUACCGUACAUCACUAAAGAUCCCGUUUAAUUUUGACGUCAUAAUAGAAAAUAUAUGACGCCACAAUGGAAAAGUGCUUUGUUUUCUCACUGAGUUACGAAUUUUGUUAACUCACUUUGUUAACUCACUCUCAGAUGCCAUGUAACAAUCUAUAAUUAUCGCACGGUGUUCCUCGUUGAAUUGAUUGAUUGAUUGUUUGUUGCUUUACGCCGUUGGGCAAAUCUGAGGUAAAGACAUCUACCACUUAGAAGGGCAAUAACAUUUUGAAAUGUUUAGAUAUUGCCAUGUACAGUAAAUACAAUUUCACUUAUUUUCUAUAUAUGCGCUUGAAAAACGAUUUUUUCUUACCAAUUAUCUUAAAAAUGUGUAUUUUUAACGUGUUGUUUUUUUUUUUGUCAACAUGCUGUACCGGAAGUUCAGAACGGAUAGUGAAAGUAUAGAGAAACAUUAUAAUGAUUUUGUAUUCCGUAAAAACAUGAAAAAAUAAAUUGAAUUAGGUAUUUCACGUCCAGAUAAUAAUGGCUACAAUAUAUACAGAAUACGCCUUAAACUCGGGUUGAUCUCAGAUGCUCCGGAAGGGUAAAUAUCUCCUGCUCCACAUGUGACAUCCGUCGUGUCGCUCGUGUUAUAACAAACCCGGAAAAUAGUCUAAUACGGUAGGUAGCAUUCGUAAAGAGGGAACGGGAUUGUUGAAAGAACAAAUCUGAUAUCAUCUGUGGAAAGAAUAUUCCGUAACGGUAAACAAACUCGUGAUGGCGUUCAUUUAAAAAUAUACGAAUGAAUGAUUUCAACUUCACCAUUUGGAACCCGUCGUUUAUUACUUUCCUUUUUGGCAGCAAUCCUCUACCAAGGAAAUGAUAAUAUGAAAUAUCGGGAAAUAGAUACUCCGUAUGCAGGUGCUGAAGGAAUGUUGCCACAUAGAAAUGGAAAGUUCACAUAGAAUAAUUGCAUACAUAUUCUAUUAGCUUUAAGGCCAGAGUGUUAACCCAAAAUAGCAUAGUGACGUUGUGAAAUUUCAAAUUUUGAAUGUAGUUUAACGAUUACACUCCAAUGUCGCCCCAAUUUCAUACAAUUCCAAAACCGGGAUUAGUGUAAAGCUUGAUGAUGGAAAAGUUUUUUAUCCUAUACCUUGUGUUUUUUUUUUUUAUUUCAGAAAGCAUUAUCUUAUAAUGUAUGGGCUCACAAUAGGAACUACCGUGGGUGUAUUAAUGAUUAUAUUUGUAGUAAACGAAGUAUACAAAAUGUGCAAGAAAUAUGCACAAACAGAAAACAAACAUCAAACAGAUAUACAGAAAUGAUACCUAUGGACACACAAGACAUUUAUAAGACACGAUUGACAACACCAGUAAUUAUUGUUACGGUAACUGUUAUUUAACAGCUGAAUGAAAAUUAAAAUUGUGAACCUUAAAAGAACAAACAUCAAUCCCGAACCAUAUGUUAGAAAUAAAGUUAGAAUCCUUUGAAUAAUUCUAAUUAAUUUUGCUACAAAAGUAUACGUACAUUUAAGGGGCGGCCAGAUGUCUAGAAGUGACAUUUCUUUAAUCUAGAAAUUUGAGCUUUGAAGCAAAGGAGUAGGUCCGGUAAGGACCGAUUUUGGCCUCAAAUUUUAGGUUCAUCUAACAAAAGAUUUUGGAC
This 4672-nucleotide long non-coding RNA is filed under the name Mytilus galloprovincialis (Mediterranean mussel). The record is from RNAcentral. Lineage: Eukaryota; Metazoa; Mollusca; Bivalvia; Mytilida; Mytilidae.